This 73-nucleotide transfer RNA is filed under the name Neustanthus phaseoloides var. phaseoloides. Its description in RNAcentral is "partial tRNA-Tyr". The record is from RNAcentral. Lineage: Eukaryota; Viridiplantae; Streptophyta; Magnoliopsida; Fabales; Fabaceae.
UAAAUGUACUCACCAAUUCAAAUAUUUCAUCGAAUCGUUGAUAAAUGGAUUCAAUUUGUCCUGUCCCUAAACC